AGAGUUUGAUCCUGGCUCAGAGUGAACGCUGGCGGCGUGCUUAACACAUGCAAGUCGAGCGAGCUUUGGCAGAAUAUCGCCAAGGCUAGCGGCAAACGGGUGAGUAACACGUAGGAAAUCUACCCUAGAGUGGAGAAAAUCCUCGAGAAAUCAAGGUUAAUACUCCAUGUGACCACAUCUUGGCAUCAAGAAGAGGUUAAAGGAUCGCAAGAUUCGCUUUAGGAUGAUCCUGCGGCCUAUCAGCUAGUUGGCGGGAUAACAGCCCACCAAGGCUAUGACGGGUAGCCGGCCUUAAAGGGUGAACGGCCACACUGGCACUGAGACACGGGCCAGACUCCUACGGGAGGCAGCAGUGGGGAAUUUUGGACAAUGGGCGAAAGCCUGAUCCAGCAACGCCGCGUGGAGGAUGAAGGUCUUAGGAUUGUAAACUCCUUUUAGAGGGGAAGAAGUUCUGACGGUACUCUCAGAAAAAGCCACGGCUAACUACGUGCCAGCAGCCGCGGUAAUACGUAGGUGGCAAGCGUUACUCGGAAUUACUAGGCGUAAAGCGCAUGUAGGCGGUUAUUUAAGUCUAUGGUGAAAUUUCCCAGCUCAACUGGGAAGGGUCCAUGGAUACUAUUUAACUUGAGUGUGGGAGGGGGAAACGGAAUUCCAGGUGUAGCGGUGAAAUGCGUAGAUAUCUGGAGGAACACCAAUGGCGAAAGCAGUUUCCUGGCCCAAUACUGACGCUGAAGUGCGAAAGCUAGGGGAGCAAACAGGAUUAGAUACCCUGGUAGUCCUAGCCGUAAACGAUGCUCACUAGAUGUGGGAGGUAUCGACCCCUUCCGCGUCGACGCUAACGCAUUAAGUGAGCCGCCUGGGGAGUACGGCCGCAAGGCUGAAACUCAAAGGAAUUGACGGGGGCCCGCACAAGCGGUGGAGCAUGUGGUUUAAUUCGACGCAACGCGAAGAACCUUACCUGGGCUUGAAGUGCUAGUUGUAAAAUCCCGAAAGGGAAAUGACCCGCAAGGGAGCUAGUAGAGGUGCUGCAUGGCUGUCGUCAGCUCGUGUCGUGAGAUGUUGGGUUAAGUCCCGCAACGAGCGCAACCCUUAUUUCAUGUUACUCCGUGGGACACUACGGAGGUCUCUUGAGAGACUGCCCUCGAUAAGAGGGAGGAAGGUGGGGAUGACGUCAAGUCAUCAUGGCCUUUAUGUCCAGGGCUACACACGUGCUACAAUGGCCGGUACAGCGGGAAGCAAGACCGUAAGGUGGAGCAAAUCCCUGAAAGCCGGCCCCAGUUCGGAUUGUGAGCUGAAAUUCGCCCACAUGAAGGUGGAAUCGCUAGUAAUCGCAGAUCAGCAGGCUGCGGUGAAUACGUUCCCGGGCCUUGUACACACCGCCCGUCACACCACGAAAGUCAGUGGUAACAGAAGUCGCUUUGCCAACCCCGAGCAAUCGGGGAGGUAUGUGCCCAAGUUAUGAUUGGUGAUUGGGGUGAAGUCGUAACAAGGUA
This 1493-nucleotide ribosomal RNA is filed under the name metagenome. RNAcentral describes it as "bacterial SSU rRNA". It matches the Rfam family "Bacterial small subunit ribosomal RNA". The record is from RNAcentral.